AAUGGGUCGGAAAUUGUAAUUAGGGCUAAAUUUUCUUACUUUUUGUUUGUGCAGCCAGCAGCAGGAGCAAGAGGCAAUGUAGGGGGAGGAGUGGAGGUGCGACGGCAAACGUGCGGCGCCUCUUGUUUCCCUCGAUUCCAACCAUGUUACCAUCAGCCACUCCCCCUCAGAUCAUUCAACAACAGCAACAGCAGCAACACCGCGAUGACGGCUCUAGCGGCUACGGCAGCCCCGAUUCAGAAACUUUUGAAUCGACCACUCAAUGAUUUUGUUUCUUGACACCUGCUUCCAUCCCGGGCCAAGUCUCAUCAAGUCAAAAACGGUGGAUGCAAUCAUGCUCGCGCUUCGAAACUUCUGCUCAUGUGCCCAUGAAACUUCAGUUAUAAAAACAUCUUCGCGUCUACUAUUCUUCUUUCCAAUAAGCUUCUCUCAUUAACUGUCUCUUGACUGAACCCUAUAAACUAAUGGUUUAAUGAUCAACUAAUUCAAUUACUCAUUAUGAAACCAAAAUUUAAGAGUUCGCAAAUCGUUGUGAGGAAGUAAUGCUUAGCAGCCUAAAACCUCAGUACAUAUGUCUUUACCUUUUUGUACAGAGCUUAAGAGAAGGACGACCAUCUUAAAUCAAUAGAAUAUUUGACAAGAUCGUAGCUCUGUACUAGUGAUUAAAAUAAAUAAUUGGCAAAUUUUUCCCGAAAAGCACCAAUUUUUCAAUCAUUCCUAUAUUGCUCAUUACUGUGUUUUCUGUAAUGUUAAAUUUAAAUCCGUUUUUAAGUUUAAUAUACCCUCAAAAAUAAUCCUCUUUUUACAGCUCUCAGUAUAUAAUUUUAAAAAUGCUGCCCAAAUUAAGGAUUGAAAUGGUUGAUAGGUACCAAAUUUUAUUUCCUGAGUCUGUUAACCGACUACCUAUGACUUCACCAAAUAUAAUGCCAUGAGAGUUUUAUGUACUGAAAAAAAUUUUAAUACUCUCCAGGAAAUUUUUAAGUAUUGCAGCUCUGAAAGGAAAAAAAAUUAAGGAGUGAUUGAAACAUUGCAGCAGCAAAGAAAGUCAGUUAUGUGAGGGAAGCUGCCUUACAUUCAAGAAUAAGUAGGUAACUUGGCAAAUUCUGCCAUGCUAAGGAAAAACGCCGUAUGAGCCUUCAGACGUUACCAAGUCUUCUUCGAUAAAUACCGAAUUUAAUCUAAAAUAUCUGAAAAUCUCAAGAAAAAUGUGCAUGAAUGUCGUCCAAAAUACAUGUUUUAUCAAGGGAAAUUUGGCAACUCUCGAAUGUUCAUACGGCGUUCUUCCUUAGCACGGCAUAAUUGCGAUUGAUCAAAUUAAAUGACAUCUUUAUCAGAAUCUGGUUCUUUUUUCUUUAAAAAAAAGAAAAAGAAAAAGAAAAAUAACGAAGCUCUGUGUAUUUAAAAGCGUCAAGUUUCGAAGAAAAAUGUUGUUGAUUGUUUUCGUUUUUAUUUUUGUACUCAUGUUCUUAGUUUUUAAAUUGUACCAUUUCCUCAAAGGGGGAAACAAGGAAGUCUUUUGUAGAAACUGUACCAAUUUGAACCCUAGUCACUAGGUUUUAAAAAUGUAACUAACGAUGAUGAUAGCAUAGUUAUAUCUCUUCGUUCUAGUCUCUUCCGCUGCUUGAAGCAUUGGUUCAGUUUUGUACUCGCAGUUACAACUUGCACUUGUGUUGUGUCCCUCAGAGGUGUUGGCUCGCAGUAUAUCUGCAUGUGGCCCAUGGCCAUUUUUGUAAUGAAGGUUUCACGUGGCAACACCAAGUUGAAACUCUUUUGACUUAACUUGUGAAUUAAUUUUUUCAGUACCUAAGAUCUGACAGACUGGAAAAAAAACCUAAGCUAAGCUAUCUCUGUCUCUCUCCCUCUCUCUCCCUCCCCUCCCCUUUUGGCAGGUCUGUCUCCUGAAUAAUCCACAUGUAGUAGCAAAAAAAAAGAUUACAAUUUCGUAGACAUACAUACGUUACCUCUGUUAAUGCCAAUGCUCUGAGGGACAAAAUGUUUCUUAUUCCUAACUGUAAAUAUAUUUAUAAAAUUAAGCUGUCCAAGGUACCUAUCUUCUGUCAGUAAAAUUCAAAAAUCUUGAACGAGAAAUGUAUCUACAAGCACGCACCUGUUGAGGAUCAAAGCUGAAAUAAUAAUCCAAUUGAAAACUGCAGAAAGAAGAUUCUUAUAAUUUCGACUGUGUAUUAACCCAAAAAUAAUUUGACGAAGAUGUCUCAUAUGGAUGCAUUGACAUUGAAUUCUUGAUGAGCGUUGUCUAAAGAUGCACUCUUCCCAUCUUAUUUUUGCUACCUACUGUUCCAUAACUGUUCUGAAGGCAGUCUCAUGUUGGUAUCUUUGAUCGCUUACUUAGCUUGCUCAUAGAAAUAUCAAUGGCUAAUCACAGAAAUAGAAAUUUUCAACACCUUGGUUGUGAUUUUUAAAAAUUACCACUAUUUUACUUUUCACGAGCAAAAAGAAGGGGAGUUUAGGGGGAAAAAUACCUACUGGAAAUUUCCAAAACGAUUUAUUGACUGGUUUUCCGAUUGAAAAAUAAGGUCUGUAAUGUUACAAUUCGAAAAUGUGGUUUGAAAGUUUAUCCAUUGAUACAGUGUGGUCAAAGAGGCGACCAAGAGUCCGAAAUCACAAAUCUGUUGGUUAAAUUCAUGUCCUAUGUAGGUGUGGUGCUGUGUAUUCCAUAAAGCUGAUCAUUUUAUCUCACAUUAAAUCAAGAUACAUUUUCAAUUUCAAUUUUACUUCGGACGAAUUUUGCUCAGUUUUUCAAUAUGAUGUGUUUUCCUCCUGAAUUGAGUAAAUUGGGGCUGAUAAAACGAAAUUUCGGGCUUUUUGAGACGAGUUGAAAGAUUGAAAAUCUACAGUGCCACCAAACUAAGGAAAGCCUUUUCUCUUGCAUAAACAAAGUAAAUCUUAAAGAAAAUUUUUUUGAGAGGCGGAAACAGUGGCAAAGCAAUACCUUUGUUUAAUAACCAUAGUGCUCAGAAAUUUCUUUUUUAAACCUGAGUUUCUUGAAA
This 3008-nucleotide long non-coding RNA is filed under the name Bemisia tabaci. RNAcentral describes it as "lncRNA ENSASIAIIG009948". Lineage: Eukaryota; Metazoa; Arthropoda; Insecta; Hemiptera; Aleyrodidae. The record is from RNAcentral.